UACGCAGGGGGCUAGCGUUGCUCGGAAUCACUGGGCGUAAAGCGCACGUAGGCGGAUUGCUAAGUCGGGGGUGAAAUCCUGGAGCUCAACUCCAGAACUGCCUUCGAUACUGGCGAUCUUGAGUCCGGGAGAGGUGAGUGGAACUCCGAGUGUAGAGGUGAAAUUCGUAGAUAUUCGGAAGAACACCAGUGGCGAAGGCGGCUCACUGGCCCGGUACUGACGCUGAGGUGCGAAAGCGUGGGGAGCAAACAGG
This 253-nucleotide ribosomal RNA is filed under the name uncultured bacterium. RNAcentral describes it as "partial 16S ribosomal RNA". It matches the Rfam family "Bacterial small subunit ribosomal RNA", at positions 524 to 776 of the family's 1533-position model. The record is from RNAcentral.